RNAcentral lists this ribosomal RNA (229 nucleotides) under uncultured bacterium. RNAcentral's name for it is "partial 16S ribosomal RNA". It matches the Rfam family "Bacterial small subunit ribosomal RNA", at positions 568 to 796 of the family's 1533-position model. The record is from RNAcentral.
UGCGCAGGCGGAAUGAUAAGUCAGAGGUGAAAUCCCACGGCUCAACCGUGGAACUGCCUUUGAUACUGCCAUUCUUGAGUACAGUUGAAGUGGGCGGAAUGUGUCAUGUAGCGGUGAAAUGCAUAGAUAUGACACAGAACACCGAUAGCGAAGGCAGCUCACUAAGCUGUAACUGACGCUCAGGCACGAAAGCGUGGGGAGCAAACAGGAUUAGAUACCCUGGUAGUCC